This is a long non-coding RNA of Myotis brandtii (Brandt's bat), 395 nucleotides long. RefSeq lists it as uncharacterized. Lineage: Eukaryota; Metazoa; Chordata; Mammalia; Chiroptera; Vespertilionidae. The transcript has 3 exons. The record is from RefSeq and is a predicted model, not a curated record.
CGGCGCUCCAGGGUCCUCAGCUUGACGUUGAAGCCCACGCCCUCCUGGGCAGGUGGGGGGAGAAGCAGCAGAUUCUCUGUGAUGCACGCGGUGGGGCCGUGCCAGGGCCUGGAACCUGUGGCAGAGCACGCGGCCCUGGGAGAAGUCUGACAUGUUCAACAUCAGAGUCCGGACAGAAGAGCCACACGGAGUCUGAAAACUUGGCCUCUUAUUCAAAUGUCGGGAACACGGAGCCUGGACGCGAGGCCUCACAGCACCGGGGAACGCUCGUCGGUCCGGGCCCCGAGAGCCCCCUCCUCAGCUCGCCCCCCAUCUUCCCUCUGACUCGGGUGUGGGGCUAGGAAGACACGAAUCUAAAAGCAUGAGGCCCCAGCGAGGGAAGGAACCACAGACGU